RNAcentral lists this long non-coding RNA (207 nucleotides) under Nicotiana benthamiana. RNAcentral describes it as "long non-coding RNA (NBEN_LNC000243)". Lineage: Eukaryota; Viridiplantae; Streptophyta; Magnoliopsida; Solanales; Solanaceae. The record is from RNAcentral.
CUCUGUUCUAAGUGUCGUAUAUGUUGCAUGCCAGUUCUGGUUUGAUUGUGGUCUAUUCAUUGUGACUAUUUCUGUGUUGUUAAACUUGUUCAUUAUUCAUGUCUGAUAAUACGAAUACUAAUACCUCCCCCCAGACUCUACUAAUCCCCUCCUAAUUUACUCCUCCGACGUUCCUGGUAUGUCUCUUGUGUCCACUCCCUUUUCAGG